RNAcentral lists this ribosomal RNA (1345 nucleotides) under Strahlaxius plectrorhynchus. Its description in RNAcentral is "16S ribosomal RNA". The stretch from base 868 to 1235 matches the Rfam family "Bacterial large subunit ribosomal RNA", at positions 2072 to 2648 of the family's 2925-position model. Lineage: Eukaryota; Metazoa; Arthropoda; Malacostraca; Decapoda; Strahlaxiidae. The record is from RNAcentral.
ACAUUUAAUAUGGAUAUAGGUAUAUUUAAGAAAAAUAUUUUAUAAUUUUUGAAUAAAGUAUUAACUACAAAAUAUAAUAUUUAUGCACUAUAGAAUAAAGUAUCGUAAGAGAAAGUUGUAAUAAGUAAUAUAUUUGAGGAAAAGAAGUUAUCGUGCCUUGUGUAUUAUAAAUAAGCAAAAUUAAGGACAAAGUGUUUUCAUCUCGAAAUAGAAGGAGCUAAGAUAAUAAUUAGUUUAUGUGGUAAAAUAAUUAAUAAUUUUAUUUUAGUAGUGAUAUGUUAAACGACUUUUAUAUAUCUAGUUAUUCUCGAAAUGAAUUUAAUUCAGGUUUUAAAGUUUAAGAAAUUACUUUAAUACUAAAAGCAGGAGGGUGAAGCUUCUUGUUAUUUUUUUGUAUAAACUAAACAAUCAAUCAUAACGUUAAACUAGGCUUAAAAGCAGCCAUGUUUCGUAAAGUGUUCAAACUACAAUAUAAGUUGAAAUAAGUUUAAAUAAGUUUUACUAGAUUAGAGAAUAAAUGAAUGAAAUAAAGAGUUUCAUGUUAUAAUGUUUAUAUAAGUAGAUCAAUUGUAUUAAUAAUAGAUACACAUUAAAAUAAUAUUAAAUUUAUAUUGUUUACUUGUUAUAGUUUAGGAACUCGGCAAACUUUACUUCCGCCUGUUUAACAAAAACAUGUCUGAUUGAUUAAUGAAAGUCAGUCUGGCCUGCCCACUGAUAGAAAUUUAAAGGCCGCGGUAUCUUGACCGUGCGAAGGUAGCAUAAUCAGUAGUCUUUUAAUUGAGGACUGGAAUGAAUGGUCGCACGAGAAGUAAUCUCUCUUGACUGUAAAUAUUGAAUUUGACUUUUAAGUGAAGAGGCUUAAAUAAACUAAGGGGACGAUAAGACCCUUUAAAACUUUACAUCGAACUAGAGGGAGGAAAACUAUGUAUAAAUCUUUGUUCUAUUAACAUGUUUCGUUGGGGUGACGGAAGCAUAAUUUUUAACUGCUUUUAUUCAAGAUUCCAAUAAUUUUUGAAUGAUUGAUCCUUCAAUGGAGAUUAUAAGAAAAAGUUACUUUAGGGAUAACAGCGUUAUUAUUUUUAAGAGUUCAUAUCGACAAAAUAGUUUGCGACCUCGAUGUUGAAUUAAGAAGCCUUUAUAGUGCAGCAGCUAUACAAGUAGGUCUGUUCGACCUUUAAAUUCUUACAUGAUUUGAGUUCAAACCGGCGUAAGCCAGGUUGGUUUCUAUCUUUUAGGCUAAUAGUAAUCAUCUUAGUACGAAAGGAUUAGGUGUUUGAAAUAAUUUCUAUUAAUUAGAACAAUUAUUUAAGUUAAAGUCGUUCGCCUUUCAGAUUUCUAUUCUGAG